UACGUAGGGUGCAAGCGUUAAUCGGAAUUACUGGGCGUAAAGCGUGCGCAGGCGGUUUUGUAAGUCUGUCGUGAAAUCCCCGGGCUCAACCUGGGAAUGGCGAUGGAGACUGCAAGGCUAGAGUUUGGCAGAGGGGGGUAGAAUUCCACGUGUAGCAGUGAAAUGCGUAGAUAUUCGGAGGAACACCGAUGGCGAAGGCAGCCCCCUGGGCCAACACUGACGCUCAGGCACGAAAGCGUGGGGAGCAAACAGG
RNAcentral lists this ribosomal RNA (253 nucleotides) under uncultured bacterium. RNAcentral's name for it is "partial 16S ribosomal RNA". It matches the Rfam family "Bacterial small subunit ribosomal RNA", at positions 524 to 776 of the family's 1533-position model. The record is from RNAcentral.